UACGUAGGGACCUAGCGUUGUUCGGAAUCACUGGGCGUAAAGGGUAUGUAGGCGGUUUAAUAAGUCAGAUGUGAAAGCCCCGGGCUUAACCUGGGAACAGCAUUUGAUACUGCUAGACUAGAGAUCGAAAGAGGAGAGUGGAAUUGCGAGUGUAGAGGUGAAAUUCGUAGAUAUUCGCAGGAACACCGGUGGCGAAGGCGACUCUCUGGUUCGAUACUGACGCUAAGGCGCGAAAGCGUGGGGAGCAAACAGG
RNAcentral lists this ribosomal RNA (253 nucleotides) under uncultured bacterium. Its description in RNAcentral is "partial 16S ribosomal RNA". It matches the Rfam family "Bacterial small subunit ribosomal RNA", at positions 524 to 776 of the family's 1533-position model. The record is from RNAcentral.